This 2233-nucleotide ribosomal RNA is filed under the name marine metagenome. RNAcentral describes it as "bacterial LSU rRNA". It matches the Rfam family "Bacterial large subunit ribosomal RNA", at positions 102 to 2290 of the family's 2925-position model. The record is from RNAcentral.
ACCCGUAGAUAUCCGAAUGGGGAAACCUACGCAAGAGAACCUUGCGUAUACUAUGUUGAACACAUAGACAUAAGUAUGGGAACCCGGGGAACUGAAACAUCUUAGUACCCGGAGGAAAAGAGAUCAUUCCGCUAGUAGUGGCGAGCGAACGCGGAUCAGCCCAAACCGUUUGUGCUUGCAUAAACGGGGUUGUAGGGCCUGGUAAUAUGAGAGUUACAAACUAACUUGUUAGUUGAAUGCUUCUGGAAAGAGCAAUCAUAGAGGGUGAUAGUCCCGUAAACGAAAAUAGGUUAGCUCUCACCAGGUUCCUGAGUACCACCGGGCACGCUAAUCCGGUGGGAAUCUGGGGAGUCCACUUCCUAAGGCUAAAUACACUUAACGACCGAUAGUGAACAAGUACCGUGAGGGAAAGGUGAAAAGUACCCCGGCGAGGGGAGUGAAAUAGAACCUGAAACCGUAUGCCUACAACCUGUCGAAGGGCGUCUGGCUUGCUUACGGGCAAGCUCGGCCUGACGGCGUGCCUUUUGGAGAAUGAGCCGGCGAGUUAAUCUUUGUGGCGAGCCUAAGGGAGUUACACCUGGAGGCGCAGCGAAAGCGAGUCUUAAUAGGGCGUGUAGUCGCAGGGAUUAGACACGAAACCUGGUGAGCUACCCAUGGCCAGGGUGAAGCGGGAAUAAGUCCCCGUGGAGGCCCGAACCCACCAAUGUUGCAAAAUUGGGGGAUGAGCUGUGGGUAGGGGUGAUAUGCCAAACGAACCAGGAGAUAGCUUGUUCUCCCCGAAAUAGCUUUAGGGCUAGCGUCAUAUGUUUAGUAUCGGAGGUAGAGCACUGGAGUGGCUAGGGGGCAAAUAGCUUACCAAACCACACCAAACUCCGAAUGCCGAUACUUGAGAAUAUGGCAGUUGGGCCAUGGGGGAUGAGCUCCAUGGUCGAGAGGGAAACAACCCAGACCAUCGGCUAAGGUCCCUAAGUCUGUACUAAGUGGAAAACGAUGUGGGACUACCGAGACAGCCAGGAGGUUGGCUUAGAAGCAGCCAUCCUUGAAAGAGUGCGUAACAGCUCACUGGUCAAGUGGUCCUGCGCGGAUAAUGUAACGGGGCUAAGUACAGCACCGAAGCCAUGGGUUUAACUAUGCUUUUAGCAUAGAUGAGCAGUAGGGGAGCGUUCCGUAUGCGUUGAAGGUUGACCGUGAGGACAGCUGGAGCGUACGGAAGUGAGAAUGCCGGCAUGAGUAGCGUAAAACAUGUGAGAAUCAUGUUCGCCGUAAGUCUAAGGUUUCCGACGGAAGGGUGUUCCACGUCGGGUUAGUCGGUCCUAAGCUGAGGCCGAGAGGCGUAAGCGAUGGAUAUCCGGUUAAUAUUCCGGAACCUCCUGAGAAGAGCGAAGUGGUGACGCAGAACGGUAGGCCAGCCGGCCCAUUGGACAUGGUCGGUGCUAAACGUGUAGGUGUUGAUACUCGUAGGAAAAUCCGCGAGUUGAGCUGAGGCGUGAUGGCGUGGCCCUGAGCCUAAAGUGGUUGAGCCGAUCUGCCAAGAAAAGCCUCGUAGUGUUGAAUCUCAGGUGACCGUACCGCAAACCGACACUGGUAGACGAGUAGAGAAUACUAAGGCGAGCGGGAGAACCUUCGUUAAGGAACUAGGCAAAAUGGCCCCGUAACUUCGGGAGAAGGGGCGCCCUCUAUCGUGAUAUGUUUACUCAUUAAGCGUAUGAGGGUCGCAGUGAAAUGGCUCUGGUGACUGUUUAACAAAAACACAGGUCCCUGCGAAAGCGUAAGCUGAUGUAUAGGGGCUGACGCCUGCCCAGUGCCGGAAGGUUAAAGUGAGGGGUUAAUCAUUUUCGGAUGAUGAAGCUCUGAGCUGAAGCCCCGGUGAACGGCGGCCGUAACUAUAACGGUCCUAAGGUAGCGAAAUUCCUUGUCGGGUAAGUUCCGACCUGCACGAAAGGCGUAACAACUGGAGCGCUGUCUCAACGAAGGACCCGGCGAAAUUGAAGUAUGCGUAAAGAUGCGUAUUACCCGCAGCAGGACAAAAAGACCCCGGCAGCUUUACUAUAGCUUGGCAUUGCGUUUGGACUUACUCUGUCCAGAAUAGGUGGGAGGCUGUGAAACUGGAGCGCUAGCUUCGGUGGAGCCAAUCUUGGGAUACCACCCUGAUUAAGUUUAGACCCUAACUCCAGACCGUAAUCCGGCUGGAGGACCGUGCCAGGUGGGUAGUUUGACUGGGGCGGUCGCCUCC